This 497-nucleotide ribosomal RNA is filed under the name uncultured bacterium. Its description in RNAcentral is "partial 16S ribosomal RNA". It matches the Rfam family "Bacterial small subunit ribosomal RNA", at positions 28 to 507 of the family's 1533-position model. The record is from RNAcentral.
GACGAACGCUGGCGGCGUGCCUAAUACAUGCAAGUUGAGCGCUGAAGGUUGGUACUUGUACCAACUGGAUGAGCAGCGAACGGGUGAGUAACGCGUGGGGAAUCUGCCUUUGAGCGGGGGACAACAUUUGGAAGCGAAUGCUAAUACCGCAUAAAAACUUUAAACACAAGUUUUAAGUUUGAAAGAUGCAAUUGCGUCACUCAAAGAUGAUCCCGCGUUGUAUUAGCUAGUUGGUGAGGUAAAGGCUCACCAAGGCGAUGAUACAUAGCCGACCUGAGAGGGUGAUCGGCCACAUUGGGACUGAGACACGGCCCAAACUCCUACGGGAGGCAGCAGUAGGGAAUCUUCGGCAAUGGACGAAAGUCUGACCGAGCAACGCCGCGGGAGUGAAGAAGGUUUUCGGAUCGUAAAACUCUGUUGGUAGAGAAGAACGUUGGUGAGAGUGGAAAGCUCAUCAAGUGACGGUAACUACCCAGAAAGGGACGGCUAACUACGUG